This 106-nucleotide small nuclear RNA is filed under the name Symbiodinium microadriaticum. The record is from RNAcentral. Lineage: Eukaryota; Dinophyceae; Suessiales; Symbiodiniaceae.
GAUUCCCUUCGUGGAUCAUCCGAUAAGAUUGGAACGAUACAGACAAGAUUAGCACGGCCCAUGCGCCAGGAUGACACGCACAAAUCGAGAAGAGUACUGAGGUUUU